Molecule: ribosomal RNA, 420 nt
Filed under: bacterium
Lineage: Bacteria
Description: partial 16S ribosomal RNA
Rfam family: Bacterial small subunit ribosomal RNA
Source: RNAcentral
UGGGGGAUAUUGCACAAUGGGCGAAAGCCUGAUGCAGCGACGCCGCGUGGGGGAUGAAGGCUUUCGGGUUGUAAACCUCUUUCGCUAUCGAACAAGGCCCGCUUAGGGUGGGUUGAGGGUAGGUGGAGAAGAAGCGCCGGCUAACUACGUGCCAGCAGCCGCGGUAAUACGUAGGGCGCGAGCGUUGUCCGGAAUUAUUGGGCGUAAAGGGCUUGUAGGCGGCUUGUAGCGCCUGCUGUGAAAACGCGGGGCUUAACUUCGCGCGUGCAGUGGGUACGGGCAGGCUUGAGUGUGGUAGGGGUGACUGGAAUUCCAGGUGUAGCGGUGGAAUGCGCAGAUAUCUGGAGGAACACCGAUGGCGAAGGCAGGUCACUGGGCCAUUACUGACGCUGAGGAGCGAAAGCAUGGGUAGCGAACAGG